RNAcentral lists this long non-coding RNA (364 nucleotides) under Prunus dulcis (almond). RNAcentral describes it as "sRNA ncRNA". The record is from RNAcentral. Lineage: Eukaryota; Viridiplantae; Streptophyta; Magnoliopsida; Rosales; Rosaceae.
AUGAGUGAGGCUAACCGCAAGCUACUGGAGGACUGGAAACCAGUUUAUAUAUCAGUGUGUGAUGUAACCGAUGCUGCUGAUACUUGUCAAACUUACAGCAUGAAGUUGGAAAAGAAAUAGUCUUACUGGUUUGGACCUGGUUUUUUCCCUCAUCAGCCGCCCCCUACUGACUCUUAUUGAUUUGACAAAGGCCAGGGAACACUUUUUCUACACCAUUGGGCCCUUUGGACGUAUCGUGGACAAAAGGAAGCUUCUUGUUCUUUAGGAUCGAGAGAUUGGCCCUCGAUGGUCAGACAACAACAAGGACACGCUCGAGUUUACUGUUUUUCCUGUUCCAAGGUUGGACUUGCGCACCUUGUUUUGA